Molecule: non-coding RNA, 101 nt
Organism: Hypoxylon sp. FL1284
Lineage: Eukaryota; Fungi; Ascomycota; Sordariomycetes; Xylariales; Hypoxylaceae
Source: the annotation of a GenBank genome assembly
GGCAGCGUGGCCGAGUUGGUUACGGCAUGAGUUCAAGAUCACCUUAGCAUCUUCGAUUCCUCAUGGAGCAAUCCGCGUGGGUUCAAGUCCCACCGCUGCCA